RNAcentral lists this ribosomal RNA (636 nucleotides) under uncultured bacterium. Its description in RNAcentral is "bacterial SSU rRNA". It matches the Rfam family "Bacterial small subunit ribosomal RNA", at positions 202 to 842 of the family's 1533-position model. The record is from RNAcentral.
UAAAGAAUUUCGGUCAUCGAUGGGGAUGCGUUCCAUUAGCUUGUUGGCGGGGUAACGGCCCACCAAGGCAUCGAUGGAUAGGGGUUCUGAGAGGAAGGUCCCCCACAUUGGAACUGAGACACGGUCCAAACUCCUACGGGAGGCAGCAGUGAGGAAUAUUGGUCAAUGGGCGCUAGCCUGAACCAGCCAAGUAGCGUGAAGGAUGACUGCCCUAUGGGUUGUAAACUUCUUUUAUAUGGGAAUAAAGUGCAGUAUGUAUACUGCUUUGCAUGUACCUUAUGAAUAAGGAUCGGCUAACUCCGUGCCAGCAGCCGCGGUAAUACGGAGGAUCCGAGCGUUAUCCGGAUUUAUUGGGUUUAAAGGGAGCGUAGGCGGGUUGUUAAGUCAGUUGUGAAAGUUUGCGGCUCAACCGUAAAAUUGCAGUUGAUACUGGCAUCCUUGAGUACAGUAGAGGUAGGCGGAAUUCGUGGUGUAGCGGUGAAAUGCUUAGAUAUCACGAAGAACUCCGAUUGCGAAGGCAGCCUGCUGGACUGUAACUGACGCUGAUGCUCGAAAGUGUGGGUAUCAAACAGGAUUAGAUACCCUGGUAGUCCACACAGUAAACGAUGAAUACUCGCUGUUUGCGAUAUACAGUAA